GAGACUUCCUCGUAUCGAUCACAAGCUCAGUCCCCGUAUUAACGUACCCCAGCAACCUCCCCGGGUAGUGCGUUAUGAGAUCAAUGGUGUUCCUCACGUGCAAAACUUUCACGUUCGUGUAGCUCUUCAGUCUUUCGUUAAAUGCUUUAUUCCCAACUUGUGGGCAACCGAACACAAACGCCGCCACAGGGAUGUCAGUGACCCCAUUUUCAGCCAAAUCAAAAGCGCUUAAAAUUGACAAGCUCGCACCCAAACUAUGCCCCGUGAAAAUUACACUCAGCUCCUCGCCUUGAUAACGUUCCCUCAACUCUUGAAUCUUGGACACUAACUGAGCCCUGGCACUCAGCUUCGUGAAUGACGAAUUGGGAUCUUCGGAAGUGUAAAUUGUAAGCCAUCCUUGCAUAACUUUCGGCACCGUCUCGUCAUCGUCGCAGUCGCUGCUGCU
RNAcentral lists this long non-coding RNA (445 nucleotides) under Citrus sinensis (sweet orange). RNAcentral describes it as "long non-coding RNA (CSIN_LNC000705)". The record is from RNAcentral. Lineage: Eukaryota; Viridiplantae; Streptophyta; Magnoliopsida; Sapindales; Rutaceae.